Macadamia integrifolia is the source of this 1842-nucleotide long non-coding RNA. RefSeq lists it as uncharacterized. The transcript has 2 exons. NCBI's taxonomy places the organism in Eukaryota, Viridiplantae, Streptophyta, Magnoliopsida, Proteales, Proteaceae. The record is from RefSeq and is a predicted model, not a curated record.
CCUCCUCUCCCACACCUUCCUCUCUUAUCUAUCUCUCUCUCUUUCCCACUUUCAUUCUUCUUUUGCAAUAAGCCUGUCCACCUCUCUCUCAACCGUUUCUCUUCUUCUCUUUUCAAAACUUAUUAAUAACUCCGUAAAAGAUUUUUUUUCUUUUUUAAUCUGUGGCUAAUGCGGUGAACCUUUCAUUUAUGCAGGUACCACUUGUGCCACAGCCCUUACCCGUGCUAUAUUUUCUGAGGGCAGCAAAUCAGUUGCAGCUGGGAUGAAUGCAAUGGAUCUGCGUCGUGGAAUCACAAUGACUGUUGAUGCUGUUGUUACAAACCUGAAGAGCAGAGCCAGAAUGAUUAGCACAAUUGAAGAAAUUGCACAGGGUUUCCUUCUCCGUAAGAGUAGAGAGAAGCUCUAGAUUGCAGCUCAAAGUGCUUCCUUCUGUUAAUUUGAUUGCAUUGAAGUGUUUUUGCAUGAGGUAAUUCCUUUUCUCUCCACUCCUCUCUAUAUGUUACUUUUAGUCUGGCAUGUUUGGUACUUUUGUAAUAGGUGCAAAGUCAUUCAAUCGGCAAAGCUUUGAUCACAUUGGAGACACUCAAAAUCCUUAUGAGCAAGCAAUAUCUAUCAUUUCAAGAGCAUUAAGUUUUUCUUUUUCUUUUUUAUGAGGAUGAUUUGAUACCCUAUUUCAGAUUUGGAGAUGACAGUUUCUUAUGAUCAUAUGCUUUCAUGGGUUGUUUAGUAGCUGACUCUAUCUUGAUUACACACUAACGUUCUCUCAUCUAUAUUUUGGCAACAUCAAUAUAUGAUCAAGAUGUCUUUAGUUACUAUCCUGAUGAGAGACAUUGAUGGAUUAGAGAAAGCUUUGACUCCAACAAAGAAAUAGUCCCCGUCUACCGUUGGCAGGUUAAACUUUUCUUAUUGCAUUAUUUUUGCUUUGAAGAAGAUAUCAAUCUGGUACAUGAUUGUCAGCUUCGUUAUAAUUGGACCAACAUCAUUUGCUCCCAUUGUUGAAAUGGCUAUGAUUAUUGUCGACCAAAGCGGUGGUCAGUGCCAUGUUUUAUUGAUAAUAGCUUAUGGGCAGGUAACUUUUUGUUUGGUCGAGUUCUCAUUUUUAGUUUAAUGAAGAACUAUUAUUUCGUAGAAAUAUUAUUUUAGCUUCAACUUUGAUCAUGAGUGCAUUACAUUGUGGCCAUAAGCUACUAUGCCAUAUGUUGGUUCUACCACUGUAGUGUAUGUAUGGUGGAAUACAAAAUUUUACUUUCAUCCACUUAUCAUGUUUCAGUUAUUGGCAAUUCUUAUUUUACAUUUUUUUUUUUUGGUUCUCAGAUUUUAUUCUUUUUUGGAUUCUCGGAUAGGAUUUUUUUUCCAUAGUCCUCAUAAUUUUGUAAUGAUGUAGAGUUCUUCAUUUUGGCAUUAAAUUGGGUAAUCAUGACAUUAAUUUCUUGUGUGAAAGAUAUAAAUCAUUGUAUUUAGAAACUGGAUCUAAUAUAUCAUGCCAUUUUUCAUUAUAAAGAAGCCUUGCUCCCUCCCCCUCUCUUUUAUGGUUUGAGAUAACUCAUGAACUUUCCCUUGCUGUUCUUAGGAAUGGACUCUCUAUGAGAUAUUAAGAUAUGCACCCCAACACAAUUGGAUUGCUUAUGAGGAACCUCUGAAAACAAACCCUCUUUUGGCCAAAAUGGUAAUAAAUGGAGUUGUCUACUCCUUGGGGGGAUUGGAUUGUGCAAGUAUGACUUAGUCUUGAAAUAAAACCUUGUUUCUUAGUUAUCUUCUUUUUCUUCUAUGAAAAUUUGGUAAUCUAUUAUUUUAUUAAAUGGAUUUUGAUGACACAUGAAACCAUAUUUAAUAUUCUUCUUA